GACAAAUUCUGUCACAUUCACUAGGGAAAUACUUAUAGAGCAGCCAGUAUGAAGGAUAUACUUGCACAAAAUCCUAGCUAAACACCCACAAACACUCACUCACCACUAGUGAGGACUCAAUGACCAAGGUGUAUUUUUAUGUACUUGUUCACAAACUGCCUGAUAUACUCUGUUCCAGGUUUUGGUUGUCUGAUUUAACAGUUCAGUGGAAAGAUGGGAGCAAACACUCUAUUGAAAGAAUGAAAUUGCUGUAAAUCUGUCUGUACUGUGGGCAGCAUUAUCUACAUUUCUUCCUAGGGGCCACAUCCCAGAUUCCAGGAUCCGGCCUCUGAGAAGUCAGAAAUGGGGAACUCUCCUGCCAAAUACAGUACAACUGUUUCUCUGCUUCGAUCUUUUCUAAUACAGCUACUUUCCUUUGAUUUCUUUAUCUUCUGUAAGUGAGGCUUAUUUGUGGUUCAUGUCAGAGAAAUUCUGUGCCCAGA
Long non-coding RNA from Oxyura jamaicensis (ruddy duck), 482 nucleotides. RefSeq lists it as uncharacterized. The record is from RefSeq and is a predicted model, not a curated record. NCBI's taxonomy places the organism in Eukaryota, Metazoa, Chordata, Aves, Anseriformes, Anatidae. The transcript has 2 exons.